This 591-nucleotide small RNA is filed under the name Pongo abelii (Sumatran orangutan). Its description in RNAcentral is "retained intron". The record is from RNAcentral. Lineage: Eukaryota; Metazoa; Chordata; Mammalia; Primates; Hominidae.
ACUUGGUGACUUUUUAUGAUUGCUUUCUGCUCGUAUGAAUAAAGGGUGAGCCCAGGGCCUGCUGCCCACUGUCUGCUCUGAUGACCCUCUCUCCCCUGCAGAUCCGAGUGAUGGUGGACCUGUGCAACAGCACCAAGGGCAUCUGCCUCACAGGACCUCCGGGAGCUGGCGGGUUGCCAGGACACAAUGGAUCGGAUGGACAGCCUGGUCCUCAGGGCCCAAAAGGAGAAAAAGGAGCAAAUGGAAAAAGAGGAAAAAUGGGUAUUUUUGGCAACUCUUCUAAUUAAUUUCCCUGUUAUUUAUCUCUAUGAUUGCAUUUGGGUUGACUAAAGCUGUGUGCAGCAGGGGUAAGGUGUUUCAUCUCUGCACAGUUUAAGGCCAGUUUAACUCUUACCUAGAAGCCAUUGUGUUCUGGGAUACCAAGGGUAUUCUUCUUGGUCCCACCUUGACAGAUGUUUAUUUCAAACUGGAGAAGCCGUCUCCUGGGAACUGAUUCCCACCCUUCUGCUGCAGACGGGAGGUGGGAGGAGCAGGAGCCCACAGCCCUGGGAGGGGCACUCUGUGGGCCGUGUGACAGCUGGUGCUGGCGCA